CGUAACGAGCGCAACCCUUGUCCUUAGUUACCAGCACGUAAUGGUGGGCACUCUAAGGAGACUGCCGGUGACAAACCGGAGGAAGGUGGGGAUGACGUCAAGUCAUCAUGGCCCUUACGGCCUGGGCUACACACGUGCUACAAUGGUCGGUACAGAGGGUUGCCAAGCCGCGAGGUGGAGCUAAUCCCAGAAAACCGAUCGUAGUCCGGAUCGCAGUCUGCAACUCGACUGCGUGAAGUCGGAAUCGCUAGUAAUCGCGAAUCAGAAUGUCGCGGUGAAUACGUUCCCGGGCCUUGUACACACCGCCCGUCACACCAUGGGAGUGGGUUGCACCAGAAGUAGCUAGCCUAACCUUCGGGAGGACGGUUACCACGGUGUGAUUCAUGACUGGGGUGAAGUCGUAACAGGGUAACC
This 414-nucleotide ribosomal RNA is filed under the name uncultured bacterium. RNAcentral describes it as "bacterial SSU rRNA". It matches the Rfam family "Bacterial small subunit ribosomal RNA", at positions 1088 to 1501 of the family's 1533-position model. The record is from RNAcentral.